Non-coding RNA from Podarcis lilfordi (Lilford's wall lizard), 76 nucleotides. NCBI's taxonomy places the organism in Eukaryota, Metazoa, Chordata, Lepidosauria, Squamata, Lacertidae. The record is from the annotation of a GenBank genome assembly.
UCCCGAAAGUUAGCGAAGUCAGUAGAGCUUGUGUCUCUUAAUCUCAGGAUUGUGGGUUCGAGCCCCACGCCGGGCA